RNAcentral lists this ribosomal RNA (253 nucleotides) under Magnetospirillum moscoviense. RNAcentral's name for it is "partial 16S ribosomal RNA". It matches the Rfam family "Bacterial small subunit ribosomal RNA", at positions 524 to 776 of the family's 1533-position model. The record is from RNAcentral. RNAcentral also lists the same sequence under 1 other name. Lineage: Bacteria; Pseudomonadati; Pseudomonadota; Alphaproteobacteria; Rhodospirillales; Rhodospirillaceae.
UACGAAGGGGGCUAGCGUUGUUCGGAAUUACUGGGCGUAAAGCGCACGCAGGCGGUUCGAUUAGUCAGAAGUGAAAGCCCCGGGCUCAACCUGGGAACUGCUUUUGAUACUGUCGAGCUUGAAUCACGGAGAGGGUAGUGGAAUUCCGAGUGUAGAGGUGAAAUUCGUAGAUAUUCGGAAGAACACCAGUGGCGAAGGCGACUACCUGGCCGUCGAUUGACGCUCAUGUGCGAAAGCGUGGGGAGCAAACAGG